AAUAUUGGACAAUGGGGGCAACCCUGAUCCAGCCACGCCGCGUGUGUGAAGAAGGUCUUCGGAUUGUAAAGCACUUUAAGGUGGGAGGAAGGGCGGUAGGUUAAUACCCUGCAGUUUUGACGUUACUAACAGAAUAAGCACCGGCUAACUCUGUGCCAGCAGCCGCGGUAAUACAGAGGGUGCAAGCGUUAAUCGGAAGUACUGGGCGUAAAGCGGGCGUAGGUGGUUCAGUAAGAUGGGUGUGAAAGCCCCGGGCUUAACCUGGGAACUGCUUUCAUAACUGCUGAGCUAGAGUACGGUAGGGGGUAGUGGAAUUUCCUGUGUAGCGGUGAAAUGCGUAGAUAUAGGAAGGAACACCAGUGGCGAAGGCGACUACCUGGACUGAUACUGACACUGAGGUGCGAAAGCGUGGGGAGCAAAC
Molecule: ribosomal RNA, 421 nt
Filed under: uncultured bacterium
Lineage: Bacteria
Description: partial 16S ribosomal RNA
Rfam family: Bacterial small subunit ribosomal RNA
Source: RNAcentral